RNAcentral lists this microRNA precursor (205 nucleotides) under Oryza glumipatula. RNAcentral's name for it is "MIR812 microRNA precursor family". It matches the Rfam family "MIR812 microRNA precursor family". Lineage: Eukaryota; Viridiplantae; Streptophyta; Magnoliopsida; Poales; Poaceae. The record is from Rfam by way of RNAcentral.
AAAAAGACAAACCCUGGUUUCCGUGCCCAACGUUUGACCGUCCGUCUUAUUUGAAAAAAUUAUGAAAAAAAUUAAAAAGACAAGUCACGCAUAAAAUAUUAAUCAUGUUUUAUCAUCUAACAACAAUGAAAAUACGAAUUAUAAAAAAAAUUUAUAUAAGACGGACAGUUAAAGUUGGACACGGAAACCCAGGGUUUGCCUUUUU